AUUCCAUUUCAUCUGAAACGCUUUUCACCAUCUGAACCCUUCUCCUUCUCUCAGAGCCGUUUCUCUGCUUAAACACUUUUCACCUUACAUCUGAAACCCUUCUCCUUCUCUUAACCGUUUUUCUAGGGUUUCGAAUAUAUAAAAUCAGUCAAGGAUUCGCAUUCUCCCUCAGAGGAUUUCAUGUAUCUGACCAUCUCUGCUUCAGUCAAGGAUCCGCUGCAAUCAGGAUUGACAUGAGAAUUCAGGGCUUCCGCAAUCUCCAUGUCCGCUUGGAUUUCUUGCGCUCCGCCACUGCUGUGCGCCUCGGCUAGGUUAAUCACAGUGUUAAUCUGAUUUCGUCUGUGAUCUGCUAGGAUUCAAAAUCAUCCUCUGAUACCGUUUGCAGAGUUUCUGCAGUUCGGUCAUUAUAAGUUUUCUUCUUCACCAUUUAGGUGUCGUGUGUUCCACUGGGGUUCCGGACGCUUGAUCUCUGCUACCCCAUUUCAGGCGAUUCCAAUGUUGAUAGGAAGCAAAUUUGAUGAUUUCAUUCAGCUUCCAGUUGAUUUGCAAUGGCCCUUUUCCAGUGAGGUUCAAAUGAGACAGAUGCAGCAAUUUUUGUAUUCCCGUAAUUUCAUGUAUUCCUUUCUCAAAUUAGGAUUUCGGUGGCAGACAUGACUGGGCAGACCUCAACCAAAGCAUUUUUCAGUUGCUCAAUUUUGAGUUUGGGAUGAACUGAGAGAGUGUGGUGGCCAUGGCUUCUCACUUUUUUGUCUACCACACAUGUUUUUCUUAUAAAAACUUUUGUAUUAAGCAUUGAUUACUAUUUUUAUGAGUUUCUUUAAAAAAUUGGUUAUAGCAAAAUUAUGCUUUAUAUAUACCAAUAAAGCAUGGAUUUAUGGUUUUUGUACAAGUUGGUUCAAUUGUUGGUGGUGACUGAUAUGAGAAUACAUUUUGGGAUAUUAGGUUCAGAUCAGAUUCCAGCAGUUGGUGUAUAGAGAGAGUAUUUGCUAUAAUGGAGCAGCAUUGGAAGGAUCUAAACCAAGCUCCAUGCUUUGCAUUUUUACAUGACAGUGUAUUCUUCCUUUGAAAUCAUAUGAAUUGUAGUGAAUUUACUUAGAUGAUCCUUUGAAUGCUAUCCUUGCCCGCCAACGUUCAGCUCUCAUCUCAUACAUUAAGGUUAGCUCAGAUACAAAGCACUUUUCACACUCCUAAUUGUGCAGGUCCUCUGGAAUGCAGCUAAAGGGGGACAUGACUAGAAGGAACAGUGAUGAUGACGGAUUGACGGGUUACUUGGUAUGCAGUCGCUGAAGCCUCCCACCAGCACCAUCUUAUGCUUAUGAGCUCAUCUUGAGGACCAAUGAAAGACAUUUAGAGGCUGUCGCACCUUACAUUGAGGUGACCUCAUUGUGAAACACACGUGCCUUUCUUUCUUCAUUUUUCUUUUAAAUAUUGGCAGCAACUAAAUCUUAUAUGGAUUUUCAUAUUGAUGCUACUAAUCCCCUGCUUGGUGGAUCCUUAAAUUCAAUAAACUCUUAAGGAAUGUUGGGUCAGUAGCUACUAAGUGCAUUGGCCAUGAAAAUGUAUGAAGGAAUGAAACACCAUCAAUCAUUGGAUUCAAAGCCAUUUGAAGCAUUGUUUUACCUGAAACAAUGAAGUUUAUGUACUUUAGGUUAAAAGAAUUUAGCACAUGACAGAAAGUUUGUGUGUCUAUGUUUGUACUUAUUGAAAUUUCUAAAGGAAGACUUUUCAAGGUA
Long non-coding RNA from Lotus japonicus, 1733 nucleotides. RefSeq lists it as uncharacterized. The transcript is spliced from 5 exons. The record is from RefSeq and is a predicted model, not a curated record. Lineage: Eukaryota; Viridiplantae; Streptophyta; Magnoliopsida; Fabales; Fabaceae.